This 62-nucleotide transfer RNA is filed under the name Nesophrosyne sp. 126 GMB-2012. Its description in RNAcentral is "tRNA-Ala". The record is from RNAcentral. Lineage: Eukaryota; Metazoa; Arthropoda; Insecta; Hemiptera; Cicadellidae.
GGGAUUAUAUUUAAAUAUAAUAUCUGAAUUGCAAUCAGAAGGUACCUGAAGGGUUAAUCUUU